CGCACGCCACACCCCUUCCUCCCUCCUCGAUCUCCAUCCCUCCUCAGCCGCCACAGCAAGAAGCCACAAACCCCUAGACAUCUCCCUCUCGUUGCGUGUUCGUGCUCAUCGCCGCCAUUCCUCCCGCUCCCCAUUGUUGCCCUGACGCCUCCACCGGCUAGGUACCAUGGAUCCACGGUCGAUGGGAGAGUACGCCAUCGUUGAUCCAUCACUUAGGUUAGUGGCGCAUGGGUCGGGUCUGGGCAGAAGGCCGGCGCCUGCGGGGGAAACGGCGGGGGUUGGUGCACCGGAAAAUAAGGAUGGGGUUGGCCGUAGAGGGAGGCUUGCCGGCCAAAACAGCCGGAGCAAGGAGGCAGUGUCGCCAUGGAGGGAGGCCCACUGGCCGGAGCAGCAGGAGCAACUGCAGCCGCUAGUCGGCCCGACGCACCGCCUCCUCUGCUGCGGCCUGCACGGUCAAGAGGGGCAGCUGUGCCAUAGCUGGCGGCGAGUUCAGCGGCCGCCGCCUCCUCUCCUCUACAAAUCCACAGGUGCAUAUGCGUUGUUCCCCUCGGUUGGAUUGUUCAUCCUUCUUCUCCGGUAGGGUGCUCGUCCGUUGUAGUAGCCUUCGUGUGCUGGAUGAACACUGCCGGUUGAGGUUGGUUUCUUCCCAUUGUGUCCUGCAUCGAUAGUCGCAUCUUUCUACCAUUGCCAUUGAGGUUAGUAUGCGCUCUGUUUGCUUGCAUGCAACAUGUUCGAUGAAAUGUGUGUGUGAUGACCUUUCUUUUUCUCAUCUUGUUUUGCCUGUUGGUCCGCCUUGGUAUAGUCCUCUGUAUAGCAUGCUUUCUUGGCCUGGUUCUACUUUCUAGCUCUGGUAAUUAGCUAUUGUUUUGCUUGUCUAUAAGCCUGCUGUUUUUAUGUCUGUGUGACUGUUAUGCAUGUACUCUGGCAGGUCUAUCUCCGUUUGUCUAGCAGGUUCAACAAUCUGCUAGGUUGCUGCAUCUGCAACUCUGUGAUGUUGUUCAAGGUUUGCUUUAUUCUUUCUUCCAUACAUGCUUGUUCUUUCUCGCUACACACAUGCUUCUCUUUCUUAAGUACCGUAAUACUGUUGUGCUGUCUCUAGCUACAUGCAUUUACCUUUCUUUGUCGGUCUAAUUGUCUAUUGAUGGGCCAUGGUUAUGUGAACUUUAAGAUGUAAUAAUAUAUGGUGUUUAAAUUUGCAUUGUUCAUUAGCGCCUAUGAUUUUGUGCCAAAGAGUCAUCUGAUAUCCAAGUUUUUAUAUAUUUUUACACCAUUGCAGUCCAUAACUUGCUUCAAUCUUGUUACACAUUGGAUUGAAGAUAGAUCGUCCAUUUUUAUUGACUUUUUUUGUAUAUUGUGAAGUCAUGGCCCCUAUUUAUAUUCAUGUUUAGUUUGCUGUGUAGUUCAUGUAUGCUCUGUAAAGAGCAUGUACAGCUAAUGGGUUUAAUUCAUUUGUUCCUUUUUUAGAUGUUCCGUAUCGGUGCAUAGUUCAACUUGAUCCAUACAGUGCCAGUGAUUUUGUAAGAUUUGCCCAUAUCUUUUGAGGAAAUAAUUAUGCUUCAGGAAGAUGCUAAAUAAGCUGGUCAGCUCUGCCUUUGAGGCAAAAGGUCAGCAAAUCUUCUUGGUUGUUCCUCUCAAGGUGAUGAGAGAUUGCUUGUUGCAGAGUACAUGCCUAGAAAGACAUAUCUUCCCCUGUGAGUAUGUUAACUGCUUGUGAGCAGGCCACUACUUUACAAAGUUUACUACAGCAGCAAGGACGCUAUGCUUUGAUUUGUUGAGCCACCCUCUGUUAUUUCGUUCAUGGGCAGAGUGGGUGGAGGUGCAGCGCCUCAGCAUGUCAAGGUAUAGGGAUGGAACCUGAUCCUUAUUUCACAAUAUGUUUCUGUUCUUACGAUAAGUGACUCAUGUUUCUUCUAUGUAAUGCUAGGAUAAAGUUUGAUUUUCUCUGUACUACUCCAACUUAGUCCUAUCUCUAACUACAAAAAUUUUAUGUAUCAUUUUAAUUUAUACUUAUUAUUAUUAGAAUUAGAUGGUGUGCAUUGAAUAUGAAAAUAGGGCCAAGUACUGCUAUGGCGCAUAUCCUAUUGAGUUUUCUUGGAACCUUGAAGCUCACGGUUGAUCUCUUUGUAGCUUAUAACAGAUAGUUAUAUCAUUUUACUGGAUGUAUAAUCAGAAAGGUGUGGUCCAACAAAUUGUAAUAUGUGACAUAAAAUAUGAUAAUGCAGGCUUCCUUUAUUUUCUUCCAUGGGCAGAGUGGGUGGAGGUACACAGCCUCAAGAUGUCAAGGAAUUUGAUUCUUACUUGACAGUGAACUUAGAAGGGUUUUCCAUCUUAUAAUAUGAUAAUGCAGGCUUCCUUACCUUGACCAGAAUUUAGCAUUUUGGUAUUGCCUCCUUACCAUGCAAUGUAGGCUUCAGCAUCACUUUUUAAACAUAAGCCAUCAUUUGUGCCGGUCCUUAUCAAGCAGUUCCUUAUCAAAGGGGAUUUUGAUGUUCUUGCUGAAAUAGAGGGCAUGAAUUGAUGAUUUCUAGGAUUAGUAAACAUUAGCACAACCCUGAUUAUCUAGUUGAGAAAUCAUAUAUUUUAAUUGCGACAAGUAAUGUAGGCUGCAAGAGUUGUCUUUUAAGUAAUGCAAAUUCUUCUGUCAGUAGCUAAUGUUGUUUAGAAAUUUUGAUUUCCCAUUUUUUCUGUAGCUCUCUUCAUUUUUGUCACUGGUUUACAUUUGUUUUAUAUCUUUCUCAUUUUGUUCAUAGCAUUUUGUCAUGUUUCUUCCUUUUUACAGAGCUAUUUUGAUGUUGUGUCAAGAAUUUUGGCUAAUUGAUGGCUCAAAUGAUUGCAAGCAUAUCAUAUUGUCGGCUUGAGUGAUUGCAGGCAUAUCAACCACAGGAAAACGUAGCACAGAAGAUUCUUGCUUCCCUUUUUUGUUUUGGUGUGAAAUUGCAGUCAAGCUACUUACAUACGACUCUUAUUAGGGCAUUCAAGAAUUUUCAAAUUGGGUCUGCUUCUGUUUUAGACUGAUUUAUGUUUCUACUGUAGGUGUUGCUCUAUGGCAGUACAUACUUUUUGCACUGUUGUAGAGAUAAGAACAGCGUGCUACCUAUUUAUGCUUUUAGUAUUGCUUGAUAGACCGAGGCCCUAUUGUGGAACUGAUAUAGUUUUUUAAAUGUUGGAACAAAUGAUGGUUUGAUCUGUGUGCAGUUGCAUUGUUUAUUUCUCAACAGGUGGAGAUUGAAUUUAAUAAUUAUAUUGACAUGCACCGGUGCUUUUUGUUAUUGUAGUUGCCUAAUUAUUGUUCUCUACUUCCUCUGAUCCAAAAUAAGUGUAGUGGCUUGAACUAAAACCAUGGCAUUUAUUUUGGAUUGGAGGGAGUACCAUUUUUGUUCUUCUGCAACAUAGCAUGUGCAGUACUAUACUCCUUAUUAUGCUAAGGCACUAUGCAUGACUUCAGAAUAUUAACAUUUCCAAAAUUUACUGUCGAGUUGUAUGGUCUAUACAUGUUAUACAAAUAUGUUUUUUUAACUCAGAUUUCUCGGCGUGAUAACCAUAUUUUUCAACCAAAAAGAUGCUUCCUUAACUGGUCUAUACAUGUUAUACAAAUAUGAUUUCUUUUUCAAACUAAGAUUUCUCAGCGUGAUUACCAUAUUUUUAAUAUAGCAUGAUUUAACACAUGGGCUUUCUACUAUCAAUAUCGAAUAUGUCCUUGCAAAAUGAAACUGUUUUCAUCGACAACAUGGCUUUAGUGGGUCUCUGUGCCAUUUGGCGCAAUGGGUCAACUAGUAAGCUUAACAGAUAGAAGAAUUUCUGCACUGGUAUCGUCUGUGAGGAAAGAUUCUUGCAGGAAUUCGCUGUGCUCCAAUGCAGAUGCAUGCAAGGGGAAGACGACUAUGUUAGAAGCUGAAGGGUUACAAACCAGGUCUUUGCAAAAGAUCCAAACUCUAGGAGAUAAUAAACC
This is a long non-coding RNA of Triticum aestivum (bread wheat), 3949 nucleotides long. RefSeq lists it as uncharacterized. The record is from RefSeq and is a predicted model, not a curated record. NCBI's taxonomy places the organism in Eukaryota, Viridiplantae, Streptophyta, Magnoliopsida, Poales, Poaceae. The transcript has 4 exons.